This 249-nucleotide ribosomal RNA is filed under the name uncultured bacterium. Its description in RNAcentral is "partial 16S ribosomal RNA". It matches the Rfam family "Bacterial small subunit ribosomal RNA", at positions 84 to 334 of the family's 1533-position model. The record is from RNAcentral.
UUUGAUGGCGACCGGCGCACGGGUGAGUAACACGUAUCCAACCUGCCGAUGACUCGGGGAUAGCCUUUCGAAAGAAAGAUUAAUACCCGAUGGCAUAGUUCUUCCGCAUGGUAGAACUAUUAAAGAAUUUCGGUCAUCGAUGGGGAUGCGUUCCAUUAGGUUGUUGGCGGGGUAACGGCCCACCAAGCCUUCGAUGGAUAGGGGUCCUGAGAGGAAGGUCCCCCACAUUGGAACUGAGACACGGUCCAA